This 771-nucleotide ribosomal RNA is filed under the name Triticum aestivum (bread wheat). Its description in RNAcentral is "partial small subunit ribosomal RNA". Lineage: Eukaryota; Viridiplantae; Streptophyta; Magnoliopsida; Poales; Poaceae. The record is from RNAcentral.
AUGGACCAAGCCCUAGCAACUCCUACCUGGUCAGCAAUCUUCCCAGAUGAGAUUGUUUCACAUGAGGUCGCGGCAUACUCAGAUCACUCGGCCAUCAGAUUAUCCUUAAAUGAUGAUGCUCUUGCUGCACGGCCCAAAGCACCUCGAGUGUUCUGUUACGAGGCAAUGUGGGAGACGCAUCCAGAUUUACCGGAUGAUCUGAACUUGAUGGCGAAGCCCGACCGACACAUUCAAGCAAAUCAGACAUCUACUCACAAUGCUCGUCAACCAUGGGAUGCUUCACCUGUGGGUCUUUCAAAGUUCAAUACAUAUGCUGCUGUAUCUUCACAUAAUGGCAAGGGUUCAGUUGUUGUUGUUUGUAGGGAUGAGAGGGGCGUCUACUUGGGCGCGCCGGCUUUGGUCUUUGCGAUCACUGACCCACCAACACUUGAAAUUUUGGCUUGCCAAGAGGUUAUGGCCUUGGCACUAGACCUAAAUGAGCGACACAUAAUGAUUGUUUCUGACUGUCAGACGGUUAUCAAGGACAUUUUUGAUGCUAACCCUAGCCGCCGCCACUGCACCGGCGCCUCCCCCGCCCCACUGACCGGCUUCCUAGGGCUUCCCUCCGCCCGUUUCUUCACCGCCGCGUUGGUCGCGACCCCGCCACCCUCGCCAGCGCUGGUCCCUGCACGGACGGCACGAACGCCGCCGCCCCGUUCAAGAUACUGCACCAACUCCCCAGCUCGUCCUCGUCCUAGUGGAGACUCCACCCCCGCGGCUCCGCUUUCUUAG